GCUGGGCGCUGUGGUGCAUGCCUGCAAUCCCAGUGGCUUGGGAGGCUGAGGCAGGAGGAUCAUGAGUUCAAAGCCAGCCUUAGCAAUGGAGAGUCACUAAGCAACUCAGUGAGAACCUGUUUCUA
This 125-nucleotide small RNA is filed under the name Marmota monax (woodchuck). The record is from RNAcentral. Lineage: Eukaryota; Metazoa; Chordata; Mammalia; Rodentia; Sciuridae.